GACGAACGCUGGCGGCGUGCUUAACACAUGCAAGUCGAACGGAAAGGCCCUGCUUUUUUGGUAUUCUCGAGUGGCGAACGGGUGAGUAACACGUGAGUAACCUGCUCUUGACUGUGGGAUAACUUCAGGAAACUGGGGCUAAUACCGGAUAGGAGCUCCUGCGGCAUGGUGGGGGUUGGAAAGUUUCGUCGGUUGGGGAUGGACUCGCGGCUUAUCAGCUUGUUGGUGGGGGAGUGGCUUACCAAGGCUUUGACGGGUAGCCGGCCUGAGAGGGUGACCGGCCACAUUGGGACUGAGAUAGGGCCCAGCCUCCUACGGGAGGCAGAAGUGGGGAAUAUUGAACAAUGGGCGGAAGCCUGAUGAAGCAACGCCGCGUGCGGGAUGACGGCUUUCGGGUUGUAAACCGCUUUCGCCUGUGACGAAGCGUGAGUGACGGUACUGGGUAAAGAAGCACCGGCUAACUACGUG
This 468-nucleotide ribosomal RNA is filed under the name uncultured bacterium. RNAcentral's name for it is "partial 16S ribosomal RNA". It matches the Rfam family "Bacterial small subunit ribosomal RNA", at positions 28 to 507 of the family's 1533-position model. The record is from RNAcentral.